GAUGAAGAACGUAUCGAAAUGCGAUACGUAAUGUGAAUUGCAAAUUCAGUGAAUCAUCGAGUCUUUGAACGCACAUUGCGCCCCCUGGUAUUCCGGGGGGCAUGCCUGUCCGAGCGUCAUUGCUGCCCUCAAGCACGGCUUGUGUGUUGGGCCCCGUCCUCCGAUCCCGGGGGACGGGCCCGAAAGGCAGCGGCGGCACCGCGUCCGGUCCUCGAGCGUAUGGGGCUUUGUCACCCGCUCUGUAGGCCCGGCCGGCGCUUGCCGAUCAACCCAAAUUUUUAUCCAGGUUGACCUCGGAUCAGGUAGGGAUACCCGCUGAACUUAAGCAUAUCAAAUAAGCGGAGGA
This 346-nucleotide unclassified non-coding RNA is filed under the name soil metagenome. Its description in RNAcentral is "partial contains 5.8S ribosomal RNA, internal transcribed spacer 2, and large subunit ribosomal RNA". The stretch from base 1 to 119 matches the Rfam family "5.8S ribosomal RNA", at positions 35 to 154 of the family's 154-position model. The record is from RNAcentral.